RNAcentral lists this ribosomal RNA (253 nucleotides) under uncultured bacterium. RNAcentral's name for it is "partial 16S ribosomal RNA". It matches the Rfam family "Bacterial small subunit ribosomal RNA", at positions 524 to 776 of the family's 1533-position model. The record is from RNAcentral.
CACGAAGGGGGCUAGCGUUGCUCGGAAUUACUGGGCGUAAAGCGCACGUAGGCGGCUUCUUAAGUCGGUGGUGAAAUCCUGGAGCUCAACUCCAGAACUGCCCUCGAUACUGGGAAGCUCGAGUCCGGGAGAGGUGAGUGGAACUGCGAGUGUAGAGGUGAAAUUCGUAGAUAUUCGCAAGAACACCAGUGGCGAAGGCGGCUCACUGGCCCGGUACUGACGCUGAGGUGCGAAAGCGUGGGGAGCAAACAGG